RNAcentral lists this long non-coding RNA (1374 nucleotides) under Homo sapiens (human). RNAcentral describes it as "long independently transcribed non-coding RNA 1424 (LINC01424)". The record is from RNAcentral. Lineage: Eukaryota; Metazoa; Chordata; Mammalia; Primates; Hominidae.
UGAACAUUCCAACCGUCCCCAGCCGGCCGGGUUUCAGGUUUGAAAAGGUGGGAAGGUUAGCUGUCCUGGCGCUUUUCCUCCACGUGUUGUGCGGCUCCGCUGGAGUUCGGGUCCAGCACCUUCUACUCCGAGGGAGAGAGCCGCGGGGAGAGCCCUGUUCGGGCCCGCGGCUCGAACUGACCGCCGGCUCUGCCGAGCAGCCUCGACCCCAGGGCACCCCCGGGAGAGAGGGCGCGGCUCAGGUCCCUGCCCGAACCCCUGGGGUGCUGAGAGACUCCCCAGCGCCCCGCGUGGGCUCCCGGCCUCUCCACAGUUGAGGAUCCUGUAAGGGGCGAGCCCUUUUUCCCAUAAUGGCUGUAGUGAGUGGGUGUGCUUUCCCGAUUGACCCGCUGUGAGAAAUGUGGUUUACAGCUUCUAUCAGGAUUAGCUUCAGCUUCAAGUGACAAAAGUCACUUGAAAUAUGAGUUGCUGAAACAAGAUGGCAGUCUCUCCCCUCAACAGGACUGUUACAACACCUUAUCUUCAGAGAACCAGGCUCUCUGCAACAUUUCAGGGACGUCGUUCAGUACCUUAUGUGGAAUUCAAGCUUAGCUGGGCAUCCUAUGUUUUAACUGGCUAACUCGUGGAACUCUCAACUUGGAUCAAGUGGUAGUGGAGUCCCAGGGACUCUGAGCAGCCAGUGUGUGAUACUGCAGGGCAGCACACCCUGGGGAGGCCAACUGUACAGAAUAAAAUUAAUGCUUUCUAUCUUUAGCAACUAAAGUUCUGAAAUAUAAAAAGGACCUCACAGCUUAACCCAUGUUAUACGGUGGGGUUUUCCCAUGAACAUCACGCGUUUCCAGCUGGGCACUCCUGCAGCAUGGCUAAGAUGACAACUCAAGUUCCCUGGGAGUGGGGGUUCCUGGGAUGUGAACCUUUCGGUGCAAAAACUGGAGAAGUUCCAGUUGGGACCCCAGGCAUAGAUACUAGGAUAAAUAGGGCCUCUCUCCUCCAGGAGCAUCAAUUUAACCCAAAGAUUCUUGGAGUCAGUUUCACAUAAGUAAUCUUGUUGAAAAUAGUAAUCCCAACAGAUCUAUUUUUCCAAAUGCACCAUUUGCAUAAAUCUCAGAAAAAAGACAACUUCAAGAACAUACCUUUGCUGGGCACCAUGGCUCAUGCCUGUAAUCCCAACUACUUGGCAGGCUGAGGCACGAGGAUCACUUGAGGCCAGGAGUCUGAGAUCAGCUUGGGCAACUGAUUUAUGGUUUGGAUUUGUGUCCAUGCCCUUCCUCUUCUGCCAUGAUUAUAAGUUUCCUGAGGCCUCCCUAGCCAUGCUUCCUGUACAGCCUACAGAACUAUGAGUCAAUUAAACCUCUUUUCUUUAUAAAAAAAAAA